This 75-nucleotide transfer RNA is filed under the name Verrucomicrobiota bacterium. Its description in RNAcentral is "Verrucomicrobia bacterium (activated sludge metagenome) tRNA-Lys". It matches the Rfam family "tRNA". From Rfam's summary of the family: Transfer RNA (tRNA) molecules are approximately 80 nucleotides in length. Their secondary structure includes four short double-helical elements and three loops (D, anti-codon, and T loops). RNAcentral also lists the same sequence under 1 other name. Lineage: Bacteria; Pseudomonadati; Verrucomicrobiota. The record is from RNAcentral.
GCCUCGGUAGCUCAAUGGUAGAGCAGCUGACUCUUAAUCAGUUGGUUCCAGGUUCAAGUCCUGGCCGGGGCACCA